RNAcentral lists this ribosomal RNA (468 nucleotides) under uncultured bacterium. RNAcentral describes it as "partial 16S ribosomal RNA". It matches the Rfam family "Bacterial small subunit ribosomal RNA", at positions 28 to 507 of the family's 1533-position model. The record is from RNAcentral.
GACGAACGCUGGCGGCGUGCUUAACACAUGCAAGUCGAACGGAAAGGCCCUGCUUUUGUGGGGUGCUCGAGUGGCGAACGGGUGAGUAACACGUGAGUAACCUGCCCUUGACUUUGGGAUAACUUCAGGAAACUGGGGCUAAUACCGGAUAGGAGCUCCUGCUGCAUGGUGGGGGUUGGAAAGUUUCGGCGGUUGGGGAUGGACUCGCGGCUUAUCAGCUUGUUGGUGGGGUAGUGGCUUACCAAGGCUUUGACGGGUAGCCGGCCUGAGAGGGUGACCGGCCACAUUGGGACUGAGAUACGGCCCAGACGCCUACGGGAGGCAGCAGUGGGGAAUAUUGCACAGUGGGCGGAAGCCUGAGGCAGCAACGCCGCGUGCGGGAUGACGGCCUUCGGGUUGUAAACCGCUUUCGCCUGUGACGAAGCGUGAGUGACGGUAAUGGGUAAAGAAGCACCGGCUAACUACGUG